GACGAACGCUGGCGGCGUGCCUAAUACAUGCAAGUCGAGCGAGCUUGCCUAGAUGAAUUUGGUGCUUGCACCAAAUGAAACUAGAUACAAGCGAGCGGCGGACGGGUGAGUAACACGUGGGUAACCUGCCCAAGAGACUGGGAUAACACCUGGAAACAGAUGCUAAUACCGGAUAACAACACUAGACGCAUGUCUAGAGUUUAAAAGAUGGUUCUGCUAUCACUCUUGGAUGGACCUGCGGUGCAUUAGCUAGUUGGUAAGGUAACGGCUUACCAAGGCAAUGAUGCAUAGCCGAGUUGAGAGACUGAUCGGCCACAUUGGGACUGAGACACGGCCCAAACUCCUACGGGAGGCAGCAGUAGGGAAUCUUCCACAAUGGACGCAAGUCUGAUGGAGCAACGCCGCGUGAGUGAAGAAGGGUCUCGGCUCGUAAAGCUUUGUUGGUAGUGAAGAAAGAUAGAGGUAGUAACUGGCCUUUAUUUGACGGUAAUUACUUGGAAAGUCACGGCUAACUACGUGCCAGCAGCCGCGGUAAUACGUAGGUGGCAAGCGUUGUCCGGACUUAUUGGGCGUAAAGCGAGUGCAGGCGGUUCAAUAAGUCUGAUGUGAAAGCCUUCGGCUCAACCGGAGAAUUGCAUCAGAAACUGUUGAACUUGAGUGCAGAAGAGGAGAGUGGAACUCCAUGUGUAGCGGUGGAAUGCGUAGAUAUAUGGAAGAACACCAGUGGCGAAGGCGGCUCUCUGGUCUGCAACUGACGCUGAGGCUCGAAAGCAUGGGUAGCGAACAGG
This 788-nucleotide ribosomal RNA is filed under the name uncultured Lactobacillus sp. RNAcentral describes it as "bacterial SSU rRNA". It matches the Rfam family "Bacterial small subunit ribosomal RNA", at positions 28 to 776 of the family's 1533-position model. The record is from RNAcentral. Lineage: Bacteria; Bacillati; Bacillota; Bacilli; Lactobacillales; Lactobacillaceae.